This 334-nucleotide ribosomal RNA is filed under the name uncultured bacterium. RNAcentral's name for it is "bacterial SSU rRNA". It matches the Rfam family "Bacterial small subunit ribosomal RNA", at positions 8 to 334 of the family's 1533-position model. The record is from RNAcentral.
AGGGUUCGAUUAUGGCUCAGGAUGAACGCUAGCUACAGGCUUAACACAUGCAAGUCGAGGGGCAGCAUCAUCAAAGCUUGCUUUGAUGGAUGGCGACCGGCGCACGGGUGAGUAACACGUAUCCAACCUGCCGACAACACUGGGAUAGCCUUUCGAAAGAAAGAUUAAUACCGGAUGGCAUAAUUAUUCCGCAUGGGAUAAUUAUUAAAGAAUUUCGGUUGUCGAUGGGGAUGCGUUCCAUUAGGCAGUUGGCGGGGUAACGGCCCACCAAACCUACGAUGGAUAGGGGUUCUGAGAGGAAGGUCCCCCACAUUGGAACUGAGACACGGUCCAA